Molecule: ribosomal RNA, 433 nt
Filed under: uncultured bacterium
Lineage: Bacteria
Description: partial 16S ribosomal RNA
Rfam family: Bacterial small subunit ribosomal RNA
Source: RNAcentral
AACGAACGCUGGCGGCAUGCCUAACACAUGCAAGUCGAACGAAGGCUUCGGCCUUAGUGGCGCCCGGGUGUGUAACGCGUGGGAAUCUGCCCUUUGGUUCGGACUAACAGCUGGAAACGGCUGCUAAUACCGGAUGAUGACGAAAGUCCAAAGAUUUUUCGCCAGAGGAUGAGCCCGCGUUGGAUUAGGUAGUUAGUAGGGUAAAGGACUACCAAGCGGUCGAUCCAUAGCUUGUCUGAGAGGAUGAUCAGCCACACUGGGACUGAGACACGGCCCAGACUCCUACGGGAAGCAGCAGUGGGUAAUAUUGGACAGUGGGCGCAAGCCUGAUCCAGCAAUGCCGCGAGAGUGAUGAAGGCCCUAGAGUUGUAAAGCUCUUUUACCCGUGAAGAUAAUGACGGUACCGGGAGAAUAAGCCCCGGCUAACUCCGUG